RNAcentral lists this ribosomal RNA (468 nucleotides) under uncultured bacterium. RNAcentral describes it as "partial 16S ribosomal RNA". It matches the Rfam family "Bacterial small subunit ribosomal RNA", at positions 28 to 507 of the family's 1533-position model. The record is from RNAcentral.
GACGAACGCUGGCGGCGUGCUUAACACAUGCAAGUCGAACGGAAAGGCCCUGCUUUUGUGGGGUGCUCGAGUGGCGAACGGGUGAGUAACACGUGAGUAACCUGCCCUUGACUUUGGGAUAACUUCAGGAAACUGGGGCUAAUACCGGAUAGGAGCUCCUGCUGCAUGGUGGGGGUUGGAAAGUUUCGGCGGUUGGGGAUGGACUCGCGGCUUAUCAGCUUGUUGGUGGGGUAGUGGCUUACCAAGGCUUUGACGGGUAGCCGGCCUGAGAGGGUGACCGGCCACAUGGGGACUGAGAGACGGCCCAGACUCCUACGGGAGGCAGCAGUGGGGAAUAUUGCACAAUGGGCGGAAGCCUGAUGCAGCAACGCCGCGUGCGGGAUGACGGCCUUCGGGUUGUAAACCGCUUUCGCCUGUGACGAAGCGUGAGCGACGGUAAUGGGUAAAGAAGCACCGGCUAACUACGUG